Molecule: ribosomal RNA, 253 nt
Filed under: uncultured bacterium
Lineage: Bacteria
Description: partial 16S ribosomal RNA
Rfam family: Bacterial small subunit ribosomal RNA
Source: RNAcentral
UACGUAGGGUGCGAGCGUUAAUCGGAAUUACUGGGCGUAAAGCGUGCGCAGGCGGCUCGUUAAGACAGGUGUGAAAUCCCCGGGCUCAACCUGGGAAUGGCGCUUGUGACUGGCGGGCUGGAGUACGGCAGAGGGAGGUGGAAUUUCCCGUGUAGCAGUGAAAUGCGUAGGGAUGUGGAGGAACACCGAUGGCGAAGGCAGCCUCCUGGGCCAGUACUGACGCUCAUGCACGAAAGCGUGGGGAGCAAACAGG